UAGAGGAUGCGAUGUUGUUUUGCAGGUGUGGGCUUUAGAACACGUCUUGGUGCAGCAAAGAACAAGUACAAACUUUCCAAUGAUGUUUCCAAGAAUGUUCAAGAUGUAUGAUAGUUCGAUCAAUGAUAAAGAUAUAGCACAUUUGCUUGACAACAAUCGGGCUAUUGAAGACUUGUGUGCCACUAACGAAGAGCUCGAAUAUGCAGCAGUGCGAGAAGCUUCAUUUUGGGUACCAAC
Trifolium pratense (red clover) is the source of this 237-nucleotide long non-coding RNA. RefSeq lists it as uncharacterized. NCBI's taxonomy places the organism in Eukaryota, Viridiplantae, Streptophyta, Magnoliopsida, Fabales, Fabaceae. The transcript has 3 exons. The record is from RefSeq and is a predicted model, not a curated record.